This 528-nucleotide ribosomal RNA is filed under the name uncultured bacterium. Its description in RNAcentral is "bacterial SSU rRNA". It matches the Rfam family "Bacterial small subunit ribosomal RNA", at positions 28 to 528 of the family's 1533-position model. The record is from RNAcentral.
GACUAACGCUGGCGGCGUGCCUAACACAUGCAAGUCGAACGAGUUGUUUAUAGUAGCAAUAUUGUAAACAGCAAGUGGCGAACGGGUGAGUAACACGUAGAUAAUCUGCCUUUCAGACGGGGACAACUCAGGGAAACUUGUGCUAAUACCCGAUGAGACUACGGGAGGGGACUUUCGUAGCCAAAGGUGGGGGCAACCUCACGCUGAAAGAUGAGUCUGCGUCCUAUCAGCUAGUUGGUGGGGUAAAAGCCUACCAAGGCGAAGACGGGUAGCCGGCCUGAGAGGGUGAACGGCCACACUGGGACUGAGACACGGCCCAGACUCCUACGGGAGGCAGCAGUGAGGAAUUUUCCGCAAUGGGCGCAAGCCUGACGGAGCGACGCCGCGUGAGGGGAUGACGGGCCUUCGGGUUGGUAAACCUCCUUUUAUUAGGGUAAAAGGACGAAUCGUGCUAAUAACCACGGUUGUUUGUAUGUUACUGUUGUAAUAAGCCCGGCGUAACUACGUGCCAGCAGCCGCGGUAACUGU